Molecule: ribosomal RNA, 201 nt
Filed under: uncultured bacterium
Lineage: Bacteria
Description: partial 16S ribosomal RNA
Rfam family: Bacterial small subunit ribosomal RNA
Source: RNAcentral
ACGCUCGACACCUACGGGAGGCAGCAGUGGGGAAUAUUGGGCAAUGGGCGAAAGCCUGACCCAGCAACGCCGCGUGAGGGAAGAAGGUUUUCGGAUUGUAAACCUCUGUCCUCAGGGACGAAGGACGUGACGGUACCUGAGGAGGAAGCCCCGGCUAACUACGUGCCGGCAGCCGCGGUAAUCUGAGCGGGCUGGCAAGGC